GACGAACGCUGGCGGCGUGCCUAAUACAUGCAAGUAGAACGCUGAAGGAGGAGCUUGCUCUUCUGGAUGAGUUGCGAACGGGUGAGUAACGCGUAGGUAACCUGCCUGGUAGCGGGGGAUAACUAUUGGAAACGAUAGCUAAUACCGCAUAACAACAGUUGUUGCAUGACAGCUGUUUAAAAGAUGCAAUUGCAUCACUACCAGAUGGACCUGCGUUGUAUUAGCUAGUUGGUGAGGUAACGGCUCACCAAGGCAACGAUACAUAGCCGACCUGAGAGGGUGAUCGGCCACACUGGGACUGAGACACGGCCCAGACUCCUACGGGAGGCAGCAGUAGGGAAUCUUCGGCAAUGGACGGAAGUCUGACCGAGCAACGCCGCGUGAGUGAAGAAGGUUUUCGGAUCGUAAAGCUCUGUUGUAAGAGAAGAACGAGUGUGAGAGUGGAAAGUUCACACUGUG
Molecule: ribosomal RNA, 459 nt
Filed under: Streptococcus sp. oral taxon 064
Lineage: Bacteria; Bacillati; Bacillota; Bacilli; Lactobacillales; Streptococcaceae
Description: bacterial SSU rRNA
Rfam family: Bacterial small subunit ribosomal RNA
Source: RNAcentral